RNAcentral lists this long non-coding RNA (2016 nucleotides) under Fragaria vesca (wild strawberry). RNAcentral describes it as "long non-coding RNA (FVES_LNC002567)". The record is from RNAcentral. Lineage: Eukaryota; Viridiplantae; Streptophyta; Magnoliopsida; Rosales; Rosaceae.
UUUUUUUUUUUGCAUAUACGUGGAUUCUUGUUUGGAACGCACGAAAGCGAGUGUUCAUAAAAGUCUGCGAGCAGCCAACGACGUUGUUCCCUCGCAUUGUGAGGGAGCUAGGGCAUUCAAAUGAACUCCAUGACUUCGGACCUGUUCAUAACAUUUGACGAGUAUGCCCUUUUUGGUUUUGAUCGGUUGACUAGAUCAUAUGUUUGGUUGAGGUGUGGACUUUCUUAGAGUUUGUGUUAUUAUAUACAGGGCUCUUUCACAUACAUAGACAGAUCUUCGUGUGUCUGGACUUUUCUCUGUGUGUAGUUUAAGGAGAACGGAGAAGGAAGGAGGAAACAGCCAGUUUUAGGAAUUUCACAUGCCGGUAGUAUUAGUAAACGUCUAACUGGUGUACGGACCAUGACCUUAUUGAAGGCUGCAGCAGCCAGGAGAACAGGAGAAGAGCAAGUUUGCACGUAGUUUAUGGUGUGAAUAGUGAUCAAAGGGAAAGACCUGGACUUGGGAAUAUGGAUUACUAGGUCUAUAUGAAUGGAGUGAACUGUAUUAUAUAUGUACAUGUAAUAGUGUAAAUAUACGCAAGUUAUUAUCAUUAUUUUUCUUAAUUAUGACGAACAAUUAGUAUAAGGUUUUGUAAUAAAACCAAAUAGUAUAUAUAUACUCUAAUAUCCCACAUCGGCCAAAUGGAGAGGGGUUAUGUGCUGUAUAUGUACAUGUCCACCUCCAAUCUAAUACGAGGCCUUUUGGUGGCUCAGCGGCUUCGGAGGGGAUGGGUACUCCGAGAUUAAGCAUGUUGAUGCUAGAGCAAUCCCAGGAUGGGUGACCUACUGGGAAGCUGCUCCUGAGCUGCCGGAAACAAAACCGUGAGGGCCGGUGGGCCCAAAACGGACAAUAUCGUGUUACGGCGGAAUGGGUCCUGGGGUGUUACAAAUGGUAUCAGAGCCACUCUGCCGUGUGGUGCGAGUGUGCCGACGAGGGCGUCGGACUCCCAAGAGGGGUGGAUUGUAAUAUCCCACAUCGGCCAAACAGAGAGGGGUUAUGUGUUGUAUAUGUACAUGCCCACCUCCAAUCUAAUACGAGGCAUUUUGGUGGCUCAGCGGCUUCGGAGGGGAUGGGUACUCCGAGGUUAAGCAUGUUGAUGCUAGAGCAAUCCCAGGAUGGGUGACCUACUGGGAAGCUGCUCCUGAGCUGUCGGAAACAAAACCGUGAGGGUCGGUAGGCCCAAAGCGGACAAUAUCGUGUUACGGCGGAAUGAGUCCUGGGAUGUGACAUUAUACACUGUAUAGAGUUUAGUGUAAUUCUAAUUCUACAUCGUGUAAGUAUGUGCUUCUAUAUAUACUGCUAGCACAAUGCAUAUAUAUGCUGCAUAUCUUUACAUGUUGUUUCAGAAACAAUAUAUAGUGUAUUUGGAUUAUUAAAACUAUACUUGAGGCGUAAUCCAAGAUGAUAUGCUUCUUAAUUUGUAAUGAUGAAUGCUAAUUAAUAUUACGUUGCAGUUCCAUAAAUAAUCUAAUACAAUUUGUAAAGUAUUAUAUAUGUCAUCAUAAAUCACUCAUUUUCUUAGGUAUACCAAGCUCGAUCGGUUAUAUAUAUGAUCAGCGAUUAGGUCAUGAAUUGGGAGUGGAAGAUCGAGCCGACUGAAGAAGUUCUAACUCAUGCAUGGUCUGAAUAUUGAAUGAAGUGAAAGUUUGAAUCUUGAACGAGUAUAUAUAUUCCAAUUAAUGAAACACUAAUUUCAAGUCAUUGUUGAUAUGUCAGUUAAAAUGUUUCAAGGGGAGAUCUUUUGUCAAUUGAUAGGCAAGUAAUAGAAUUCGAUCUAUCUGGAUUUUCCUGGCUAACAUGUAUGACAUGUUCAUUUAUUUAGUAGUUUAGUACGUAAUGGUAAUCAAACCUACUGAUAAUGAUUUUGUUGUAAUUUAAUUUGUUUUCAUGUCACAAAUUAAGUUCAACUAAAUUGUAAUUUUAGCUCGAUUAGUUGUAGAACGAGUGUAUGAUAUACAUUAAGGUACCGUAGAUGAC